UGGACGACCGGGUGGUGGUGGCCAUGGGUUCGAAGGCUCAUUGUCGGCAGCCGGUUCUGGAUGCUGUGGUCACUCCUUCUAUCUACUACACACAGGUCUGAGCUACCGAACCGAGCGUGAGUCAGCGCACGAGCACCAACAGUGCACAGUCACACUCCCUCCUAGCUGAGCGGCACUCUGUAAGCCUACAUGGAGUACACACACCAGGGGACCAUGGCGUCGAGCGCGAGAGUUUUAGCAGUCACGGCGCACAGCACUCACAUGAUGACGUUUAGUUUAGCUCCUUUCAUUUCACUUCCAUAUUUGCACUUUCAUUUCUUCUAACAUUCGUGUUUGCUUGGUCAAUUAACAUGCAACACGUUGUUGAGUGCAUGGCGGACGACAUGCUUCCUGUAAUGGAACCACCACCACCACCUGCUGGACCACAACCAGUGCUACUUACCUUUGAGGAAUUUCUGGCACAGCACCUGGUGACUACGGUGGGAACCGGUGGAUCGUCCGUUGGUGGUGGUUCCGGUCUUGGCAUCACUCCUGAGUCACAGAUCCCGGUCACUCUGACUAUCGAGGAGGUGGCGGUGGCGGUAGCGGUAGCGCUAUCGCUAGCAGUGACGACCUGGGCUUUGGCGGACUUGGCUGUAAUGAACUUGGCGGUGCUGGUGGACGUCCUGGCGCUUAAGCAUGUGGGUCUUUAGAUGACUUGUGCUCUUUUAUGCUCCUUUAGAUGACUUGUGCUUCUUUAGAUGCUUAUGUUGUUUGUGAUGAUGCUUAUGUUGUUUGCGAUGAUGCUUAUGUUUGUGAUGAUAUUUAUGUUCUUGUGAUGUUGGUUGUGAGGAUGUUGGUGAUGUGCUAUAUGUGUAUUUCAUCAUAUAUAUCUGAUGUCUAUUUGAAUUGAAUUGAAUUGAAUUGAAUUAAAACAGAGAAAAGGAAAAAAAA
Aegilops tauschii subsp. strangulata is the source of this 933-nucleotide long non-coding RNA. RefSeq lists it as uncharacterized. NCBI's taxonomy places the organism in Eukaryota, Viridiplantae, Streptophyta, Magnoliopsida, Poales, Poaceae. The record is from RefSeq and is a predicted model, not a curated record.